UCUAUGGGUGGCGAGUGGCGGACGGGUGAGUAAUGCAUCGGGAUCUACCCAAACGUGGGGGAUAACGUAGGGAAACUUACGCUAAUACCGCAUACGUCCUAUGGGAGAAAGCGGGGGAUCGCAAGACCUCGCGCGGUUGGACGAACCGAUGUGCGAUUAGCUAGUUGGUAGGGUAAUGGCCUACCAAGGCGACGAUCGCUAGCUGGUCUGAGAGGAUGAUCAGCCACACUGGAACUGAGACACGGUCCAGACUCCUACGGGAGGCAGCAGUGGGGAAUAUUGGACAAUGGGCGCAAGCCUGAUCCAGCAAUGCCGCGUGUGUGAAGAAGGCCUUCGGGUUGUAAAGCACUUUUAUCAGGAGCGAAAUGCCAUUGGUUAAUACCCGGUGGAGCUGACGGUA
This 400-nucleotide ribosomal RNA is filed under the name Dyella sp. YNH26CA. RNAcentral describes it as "bacterial SSU rRNA". It matches the Rfam family "Bacterial small subunit ribosomal RNA", at positions 81 to 477 of the family's 1533-position model. Lineage: Bacteria; Pseudomonadati; Pseudomonadota; Gammaproteobacteria; Lysobacterales; Rhodanobacteraceae. The record is from RNAcentral.